CGGCUGGGCGUUCUCGAACCUAUGGCUGAACUCAUCAUUCAUUGCCACCAGCAUUAUGCACCGAACGGUGGUGCGAUCGUUGAGCCACUUCUGGUAAGUGUCUCGGACCAUCCCUCUAGCGUUCGGGGCUGGCUCCUCAGGUGCCGGAUCCGUUACUACAUAAAGGAUCCGUUCAUGCUCAAGGAUGAUUUUUAAUUUUCGACACCAGCUA
Molecule: long non-coding RNA, 211 nt
Filed under: Elaeis guineensis (African oil palm)
Lineage: Eukaryota; Viridiplantae; Streptophyta; Magnoliopsida; Arecales; Arecaceae
Description: long non-coding RNA (EGUI_LNC070220)
Source: RNAcentral